AUAGGCGUUGAAAAGCCCCGGGAUGACUUGUGGAUAGGGGUGAAAGGCCAAUCAAACUUCGUGAUAGCUGGUUCUCUCCGAAAUAUAUUUAGGUAUAGCGUUGUGUCGUAAUAUAAGGGGGUAGAGCACUGAAUGGGCUAGGGCAUACACCAAUGUACCAAACCCUAUCAAACUCCGAAUACCUUAUAUGUAAUCACAGCAGUCAGGCGGCGAGUGAUAAAAUCCGUCGUCAAGAGGGAAACAACCCAGACUACCAGCUAAGGUCCCUAAAUCUUACUUAAGUGGAAAACGAUGUGAAGUUACUUAAACAACCAGGAGGUUGGCUUAGAAGCAGCCAUCCUUUAAAGAAAGCGUAAUAGCUCACUGGUCUAGUGAUUUUGCGCGGAAAAUAUAACGGGGCUAAAGUAAGUACCGAAGCUGUAGACUUGCGCACAACUUAGAUUAUUUAAGUUUAGAAUAUGAGAAACUAAGUUAUAUGUUUAGUUAUAUUUUUACUGAUUUUUAUAGAGUAAAGAUAGAAAUAAAACUUAGUAAAAUCAGUAAAAAUAUUCUUAGACUAAAGUUAAGUAGUUUAAGUUGUGUGCAAGUGGUAGGAGAGCGUUCUAUUUGCGUCGAAGGUAUACCGGUAAGGAGUGCUGGAGCGAAUAGAAGUGAGCAUGCAGGCAUGAGUAGCGAUAAUUAAUGUGAGAAUCAUUAACGCCGUAAACCCAAGGUUUCCUACGCGAUGCUCGUCAUCGUAGGGUUAGUCGGGUCCUAAGUCGAGUCCGAAAGGGGUAGACGAUGGCAAAUUGGUUAAUAUUCCAAUACCAACAUUAGUGUGCGAUGGAAGGACGCUUAGGGCUAAGGGGGCUAGCGGAUGGAAGUGCUAGUCUAAGGUCGUAGGAGGUUAUACAGGCAAAUCCGUAUAACAAUACUCCGAGAACUGAAAGGCUUUUUGAAGUCUUCGGAUGGAUAGAAGAACCCCUGAUGCCGUCGAGCCAAGAAAAGUUUCUAAGUUUAGCUAAUGUUGCCCGUACCGUAAACCGACACAGGUGGGUGGGAUGAGUAUUCUAAGGCGCGUGGAAGAACUCUCUUUAAGGAACUCUGCAAAAUAGCACCGUAUCUUCGGUAUAAGGUGUGGUUCGCUUCGUAUUAGGAUUUACUCCGAAAGCGAAGAAACUUACAACAAAGAGUCCCUCCCGACUGUUUACCAAAAACACAGCACUCUGCUAACUCGUAAGAGGAUGUAUAGGGUGUGACGCCUGCCCGGUGCUCGAAGGUUAAUUGAUGGGGUUAGCAUUAGCGAAGCUCUUGAUCGAAGCCCGAGUAAACGGCGGCCGUAACUAUAACGGUCCUAAGGUAGCGAAAUUCCUUGUCGGUUAAAUACCGACCUGCAUGAAUGGCGUAACGAGAUGGGAGCUGUCUCAAAGAGGGAUCCAGUGAAAUUGUAGUGGAGGUGAAAAUUCCUCCUACCCGCGGCAAGACGGAAAGACCCCGUGGACCUUUACUACAGCUUGACACUGCUAUUUGGAUAAGAAUGUGCAGGAUAGGUGGGAGGCUUUGAGUAUAUGACGCCAGUUGUAUAUGAGCCAUUGUUGAGAUACCACUCUUUCUUAUUUGGGUAGCUAACCAGCUUGAGUUAUCCUCAAGUGGGACAAUGUCUGGUGGGUAGUUUGACUGGGGCGGUCGCCUCCCAAAUAAUAACGGAGGCUUACAAAGGUUGGCUCAGAACGGUUGGAAAUCGUUCGUAGAGUAUAAAGGUAUAAGCCAGCUUAACUGCAAGACAUACAAGUCAAGCAGAGACGAAAGUCGGUCUUAGUGAUCCGGUGGUUCUGUGUGGAAGGGCCAUCGCUCAAAGGAUAAAAGGUACCCCGGGGAUAACAGGCUGAUCUCCCCCAAGAGCUCACAUCGACGGGGAGGUUUGGCACCUCGAUGUCGGCUCAUCGCAUCCUGGGGCUGGAGCAGGUCCCAAGGGUAUGGCUGUUCGCCAUUUAAAGCGGUACGCGAGCUGGGUUCAGAACGUCGUGAGACAGUUCGGUCCCUAUCUGCCGUGGGCGUAAGAAGAUUGAAGAGAUUUGACCCUAGUACGAGAGGACCGGGUUGAACAAACCACUGGUGUAGCUGUUGUUCUGCCAAGAGCAUCGCAGCGUAGCUAAGUUUGGAAAGGAUAAACGCUGAAAGCAUCUAAGCGUGAAGCCAACUCUAAGAUGAAUCUUCUCUAAGCUCUCUAGAAGACUACUAGUUUGAUAGGCUGGGUGUGUAAUGGAUGAAAGUCCUUUAGCUGACCAGUACUAAUAGAGCGUUUGGCUUAUCUUUAAUAAAGCAU
This 2305-nucleotide ribosomal RNA is filed under the name Campylobacter coli. RNAcentral's name for it is "partial 23S ribosomal RNA". It matches the Rfam family "Bacterial large subunit ribosomal RNA", at positions 782 to 2925 of the family's 2925-position model. Lineage: Bacteria; Pseudomonadati; Campylobacterota; Epsilonproteobacteria; Campylobacterales; Campylobacteraceae. The record is from RNAcentral.